RNAcentral lists this ribosomal RNA (490 nucleotides) under uncultured bacterium. Its description in RNAcentral is "partial 16S ribosomal RNA". It matches the Rfam family "Bacterial small subunit ribosomal RNA", at positions 29 to 507 of the family's 1533-position model. The record is from RNAcentral.
AGUGAACGCUGGCGGUAGGCCUAACACAUGCAAGUCGAACGGCAGCACAGGAGAGCUUGCUCUCUGGGUGGCGAGUGGCGGACGGGUGAGGAAUACGUCGGAAUCUGCCCAGUCGUGGGGGAUAACGUAGGGAAACUUACGCUAAUACCGCAUACGACCUUCGGGUGAAAGAGGGGGAUCGCAAGACCUCUCGCGAUUGGAUGAGCCGAUGUCGGAUUGGCUAGUUGGCGGGGUAAUGGCCCACCAAGGCGACGAUCCGUAGCUGGUCUGAGAGGAUGAUCAGCCACACUGGAACUGAGACACGGUCCAGACUCCUACGGGAGGCAGCAGUGGGGAAUAUUGGACAAUGGGCGCAAGCCUGAUCCAGCCAUACCGCGUGGGAGAAGAAGGCCUUCGGGUUGUAAAGCCCUUUUGUUGGGAAAGAAAUCUUUCAGGCUAAUACCCUGGGAGGAUGACGGUACCCAAAGAAUAAGCACCGGCUAACUUCGUG